RNAcentral lists this transfer RNA (84 nucleotides) under Candidatus Altimarinota bacterium. Its description in RNAcentral is "tRNA-Leu". It matches the Rfam family "tRNA". From Rfam's summary of the family: Transfer RNA (tRNA) molecules are approximately 80 nucleotides in length. Their secondary structure includes four short double-helical elements and three loops (D, anti-codon, and T loops). RNAcentral also lists the same sequence under 1 other name. The record is from RNAcentral. Lineage: Bacteria; Candidatus Altimarinota.
GGCUCCGUGGUGGAAUGGUAGACACGAUGGACUCAAAAUCCAUUGAGGCAACUCAUGUCGGUUCGAGUCCGACCGGAGCUACCA